UACUUCGGAAUAUUCAGCAAUGAAUCCGCACAUACACCAGAGAAGCAAACAAGUGUGAGUUAACUGAAGAUGAGCCAACAUAUGUCUUGUUAAGACCUCAAACCACUUCUGGGUGAGCACGGCCUCCAGCACCACUGCCAACAAUGAGGCCUGAAGACGUCACAGCCAACACCGUGAGGUCUGCGGCAGCAGAAUUCCUUCUUCCCUCCAGCCGGCAACUGUGCUGAAGCAGAUCAGUGCCUCGCUCCAUGGUGGGACCGAACAGCCCACAACUUCCACAUCCACUGCACAGCAACCUGCCCUCGGCUUUGGCAGCACCUCCACACUCGGGGGCCCGAAACCAGGUGCUUUAAGGGAUUUAAUUUAGGGAGAACAUGGAUUCAUUGCUUUCCCCCACGCUCCUCAUGAGCCUCGGCCCUGGAAGGCAGGCCCCAUUCCCACAGGCAGCAGUGCUCAGCGCCUUCCCUUCGGGACGGGCCAAGUAAUCACUGUGGAUCUGGGCUCCAGGCUUUGCUUUACCUGCUGAGGGAGUGAAAGACCCCUUGAGACCACACCACAAAGGAACAUGAGAGUAGAGGGAAGAUUUGAACGAGGAGAUCUCUGACAGAUAGCUGACUGAGGUACGGAAAAUGUGAAGAGACAAGAAGAGUAUUUCUCUUGUCACAACAGCCCCAUCUAGACUGGGAACAAACACAGAAAGAAAGGGCGUUCCCUUAAAAACUGUAAUUGAAUGAGACAUAAAUCACAGCUCACCAAAGUGGGUUAGGUUUGGCCGAUGUACAGAGCUGGGAAGUGAAAAUCACUGGCUGGGCGCCCAAGGGAGGGGAGGAGAUCGGGCACGAGAUAGGCAGUGAAGGGGUGCAGACGGAUAGAAUGUGAGCAGGUCAGUGCCAGCACAACACCUCGCUCUGGGCCCUACUUCUGCCAUGGCAGCAGUGUGAGCUGAGUGGCAGAACUGACUACACAGCCUGGAACAAAGAGAAGGAGAGACCAGGACCACCAUUCAGUUAUAAGCUUUUUCUUUUUUAGAAUUCAAGCUUACACAGUUAUCUAUGCCCACUAUAUUCAUAAUUACAUUUUAAUAUCUGCAUACAAAAGCUAUGUAAAAAUUAUUUUCUUCCCCCAAAUAUACAAAUUUUCUCUUUAGAUAGUUUAAAACAUUUGUGAUCACAGAUUUUUAAUAUAUUUUAGGCUGAAAAAAUAUUACCAAUCUAGCAUAACUCUUAACACUGCUUGCAAAAAAAUACAUCAUCCAAGGUAAUUUUUUUUUACUGUACUGCGUAACGUUUGCCUUACCCUCAGGGCACGAAACCGGUAUAAAAAAAUAAACCAAACAAGCAAAACCCACAAGCCUCAUAGACAAAGUAAGGAGUCCUCCCACCUAACUUCAUAAAAACAAACAAACAACCCAAACCACCCUUCUCUUCCAAAAA
Meleagris gallopavo (turkey) is the source of this 1433-nucleotide non-coding RNA. Lineage: Eukaryota; Metazoa; Chordata; Aves; Galliformes; Phasianidae. The record is from RefSeq and is a predicted model, not a curated record.